UCUUUCGUAGGUUAUAAAUUUGUAAACUGUCGAUUUGUGGUGUCGGAGAAUCUGUUUGGCGGGGGAA
This 67-nucleotide transfer RNA is filed under the name Metorchis bilis. RNAcentral describes it as "tRNA-His". Lineage: Eukaryota; Metazoa; Platyhelminthes; Trematoda; Opisthorchiida; Opisthorchiidae. The record is from RNAcentral.